GACAGAGGGGCCAAGCGUUAGGCGGAAUCACUGGGCUUAAAGCGUGUGUAGGCGGACUGGUAAGUACCUUGUGAAAUCCCACGGCUUAACCGUGGAACUGCUUGGUAUACUGCUGGUCUUGAGCCACCUAGGGGCGAGCGGAACAAAUGGUGGAGCGGUGAAAUGCGUAGAUAUUGGGAGGAACACCAGUGGCGAAGGCGGCUCACUGGACCGGUUCUGACGCUGAAGCGCGAAAGCGUGGGGAGCAAACGGG
RNAcentral lists this ribosomal RNA (253 nucleotides) under uncultured bacterium. RNAcentral describes it as "partial 16S ribosomal RNA". It matches the Rfam family "Bacterial small subunit ribosomal RNA", at positions 524 to 776 of the family's 1533-position model. The record is from RNAcentral.